GUAGGUGGCAAGCGUUGUCCGGGAAUUAUUGGGGCGUAAAGCGUGCGCAGGCGGUUCUUUAAGUCUGAUGUGAAAGCCCACGGGCUCAACCGUGGAGGGUCAUUGGAAACUGGAGAACUUGAGUACAGAAGAGGAAAGCGGAAUUCCACGUGUAGCGGUGAAAUGCGUAGAGAUGUGGAGGAACACCAAUGGCGAAGGCGGCUUUCUGGUCUGUAACUGACGCUGAGGCGCGAAAGCGUGGGGAGCAAACAGGAUUAGAUACCCUGGUAGUCCACGCCGUAAACGAUGAGUGCUAAGUGUUAGGGGGUUUCCGCCCCUUAGUGCUGCAGCUAACGCAUUAAGCACUCCGCCUGGGGAGUACGGCCGCAAAGGCUGA
Molecule: ribosomal RNA, 376 nt
Filed under: uncultured organism
Description: partial 16S ribosomal RNA
Rfam family: Bacterial small subunit ribosomal RNA
Source: RNAcentral